GAUGAGUGGGGGGAGAGAGGAGAAGAACAUGUCUCCCAGCUGUGGGGCCCGGACUCCAGCUUAGGGAUACCCUUUGUUCACGCACACCAUGGCCCACUAGCCAAACCUGGCCAGCUGUCUGAGUCUGUAAAGGAAGUUCAGAGAACAUUGGCAACCCUUGUCCUGUAGGGUUGCUUUCAGGAUAAGGAGAAAACACGUGGGAAAAAAGGCCUUAGCAGGGUGCCAGCACCCACCACAUUCCAGUGAUUCAUGUCAUUCUCGAACCUUGCAGUGUUCAACAAAAAUAACAGUAAUGAUCAUAGCUAAUGUACAGACUUGAAGAAGUCUGCCUCUUAUCACCCCUCUUAAAUGGCAAAGGUCACUCUCCAUCUUGCCUAGAGGCCUGGGGAAGGUUGCAGGGUCCUUCUGAUGCUGCAUCGGAGCUGGCCUUUCACUCGAGUUCCCUAAUCUGAUACUCAAACGACUGCUCCUGUGAAAAUUCCUGACCAGCCAGCCUGAUGGAGCAGUGGGGACAGAUGAUGUCAGCGAGAAGCUGAGCUGUGCUCCCUUGAUGACUUAAGAGUGGAGCUGAGACCAGACCAUGAGCACAGUUUAUAGGACAGCGACUCAGACGGUGGUGUAGAAAGACCCCGAACUCCUCUCCUCUCCUGAGCACAC
This is a long non-coding RNA of Bubalus bubalis (water buffalo), 657 nucleotides long. RefSeq lists it as uncharacterized. Lineage: Eukaryota; Metazoa; Chordata; Mammalia; Artiodactyla; Bovidae. The record is from RefSeq and is a predicted model, not a curated record. The transcript is spliced from 5 exons.